AAGGAAUAGUUUAUUGUAGAAUUCCAGCUUUGGGUGCUGGUGGUGAGGCUAUAGCUUCUUCCUUGAA
This 67-nucleotide transfer RNA is filed under the name Uropsilus aequodonenia. Its description in RNAcentral is "tRNA-Pro". The record is from RNAcentral. Lineage: Eukaryota; Metazoa; Chordata; Mammalia; Eulipotyphla; Talpidae.